CCUACGGGGGGCAGCAGUGAGGAAUAUUGGUCAAUGGACGAGAGUCUGAACCAGCCAAGUAGCGUGAAGGAUGACUGCCCUAUGGGUUGUAAACUUCUUUUAUAUGGGAAUAAAAUGUUCCACGUGUGGGAUUUUGUAUGUACCAUAUGAAUAAGGAUCGGCUAACUCCGUGCCAGCAGCCGCGGUAAUACGGAGGAUCCGAGCGUUAUCCGGAUUUAUUGGGUUUAAAGGGAGCGUAGGUGGAUUGUUAAGUCAGUUGUGAAAGUUUGCGGCUCAACCGUAAAAUUGCAGUUGAAACUGGCAGUCUUGAGUACAGUAGAGGUGGGCAGAAUUCGUGGUGUAGCGGUGAAAUGCUUAGAGAUCACGAAGAACUCCGAUUGCGAAGGCAGUUCACUGGACUGCAACUGACACUGAGGCUCGAAAGUGUGGGUAUCAAACAGGAUUAGAUACCCGAGUAGUC
RNAcentral lists this ribosomal RNA (460 nucleotides) under uncultured bacterium. RNAcentral's name for it is "partial 16S ribosomal RNA". It matches the Rfam family "Bacterial small subunit ribosomal RNA", at positions 338 to 795 of the family's 1533-position model. The record is from RNAcentral.